RNAcentral lists this ribosomal RNA (253 nucleotides) under uncultured bacterium. RNAcentral describes it as "partial 16S ribosomal RNA". It matches the Rfam family "Bacterial small subunit ribosomal RNA", at positions 524 to 776 of the family's 1533-position model. The record is from RNAcentral.
UACGGAGGGUGCGAGCGUUGUCCGGAAUCAUUGGGCGUAAAGCGCGCGUAGGCGGCCCGGUAAGUCCGUUGUGAAAGUCAAAGGCUCAACCUUUGAACGCCGAUGGAUACUGCCGGGCUAGAGUCCGGAAGAGGCGAGUGGAAUUCCUGGUGUAGCGGUGGAAUGCGCAGAUAUCAGGAGGAACACCGAUGGCGAAGGCAGGUCUCUGGGCUGACACUGACGCUCAUGCACGAAAGCGUGGGGAGCAAACAGG